RNAcentral lists this ribosomal RNA (468 nucleotides) under uncultured bacterium. RNAcentral's name for it is "partial 16S ribosomal RNA". It matches the Rfam family "Bacterial small subunit ribosomal RNA", at positions 28 to 507 of the family's 1533-position model. The record is from RNAcentral.
GACGAACGCUGGCGGCGUGCUUAACACAUGCAAGUCGAACGGAAAGGCCCUGCUGUUGUGGGGUGCUCGAGUGGCGAACGGGUGAGUAACAAGUGAGUAACCUGCCCUUGACUUUGGGAUAACUUCAGGAAACUGGGGCUAACACCGGAUAGGAGCUCCUGCUGCAUGGUGGGGGUUGGAAAGUUUCGGCGGUUGGGGAUGGACUCGCGGCUUAUCAGCUUGUUGGUGGGGUAGUGGCUUACCAAGGCUUUGACGGGUAGCCGGCCUGAGAGGGUGACCGGCCACAUUGGGACUGAGAUACGGCCCAGACUCCUACGGGAGGCAGCAGUGGGGAAUAUUGCACAAUGGGCGGAAGCUUGAUGCAGCAACUCCGCGUGCGGGAUGACGGCCUUCGGGUUGUAAACCGCUUUCGCCUGUGACGAAGCGUGAGUGACGGUAAUGGGUAAAGAAGCACCGGCUAACUACGUG